This 621-nucleotide ribosomal RNA is filed under the name Methylobacterium sp. Its description in RNAcentral is "bacterial SSU rRNA". It matches the Rfam family "Bacterial small subunit ribosomal RNA", at positions 132 to 787 of the family's 1533-position model. The record is from RNAcentral. Lineage: Bacteria; Pseudomonadati; Pseudomonadota; Alphaproteobacteria; Hyphomicrobiales; Methylobacteriaceae.
UUCGGUUCGGAAUAACUCAGGGAAACUUGAGCUAAUACCGGAUACGCCCUUCUGGGGAAAGGCUUGCUGCCGAAGGAUCGGCCCGCGUCUGAUUAGCUAGUUGGUGAGGUUAUGGCUCACCAAGGCGACGAUCAGUAGCUGGUCUGAGAGGAUGAUCAGCCACACUGGGACUGAGACACGGCCCAGACUCCUACGGGAGGCAGCAGUGGGGAAUAUUGGACAAUGGGGGCAACCCUGAUCCAGCCAUGCCGCGUGAGUGAUGACGGCCUUAGGGUUGUAAAGCUCUUUUCUCCGGGACGAUAAUGACGGUACCGGAGGAAUAAGCCCCGGCUAACUUCGUGCCAGCAGCCGCGGUAAUACGAAGGGGGCUAGCGUUGCUCGGAAUCACUGGGCGUAAAGGGCGCGUAGGCGGCUGAUUUAGUCGAGGGUGAAAGCCCGUGGCUCAACCACGGAAUGGCCUUCGAUACUGGUUGGCUUGAGACCGGAAGAGGACAGCGGAACUGCGAGUGUAGAGGUGAAAUUCGUAGAUAUUCGCAAGAACACCAGUGGCGAAGGCGGCUGUCUGGUCCGGUUCUGACGCUGAGGCGCGAAAGCGUGGGGAGCAAACAGGAUUAGAUACCC